UACGGAGGGGGCUAGCGUUGUUCGGAAUUACUGGGCGUAAAGCGCACGUAGGCGGCGAUUCAAGUCAGAGGUGAAAGCCCGGGGCUCAACUCCGGAACUGCCUUUGAAACUAGAUUGCUAGAAUCUUGGAGAGGCGAGUGGAAUUCCGAGUGUAGAGGUGAAAUUCGUAGAUAUUCGGAAGAACACCAGUGGCGAAGGCGACUCGCUGGACAAGUAUUGACGCUGAGGUGCGAAAGCGUGGGGAGCAAACAGG
Molecule: ribosomal RNA, 253 nt
Filed under: uncultured bacterium
Lineage: Bacteria
Description: partial 16S ribosomal RNA
Rfam family: Bacterial small subunit ribosomal RNA
Source: RNAcentral